UGAACGCUGGCGGCGUGCCUAAUACAUGCAAGUCGCGCGAACGGACGAGAAGCUUGCUUCUCUGAUGUUAGCGGCGGACGGGUGAGUAACACGUGGAUAACCUACCUAUAAGACUGGGAUAACUUCGGGAAACCGGAGCUAAUACCGGAUAAUAUUUUGAACCGCAUGGUUCAAAAGUGAAAGACGGUCUUGCUGUCACUUAUAGAUGGAUCCGCGCUGCAUUAGCUAGUUGGUAAGGUAACGGCUUACCAAGGCAACGAUGCAUAGCCGACCUGAGAGGGUGAUCGGCCACACUGGAACUGAGACACGGUCCAGACUCCUACGGGAGGCAGCAGUAGGGAAUCUUCCGCAAUGGGCGAAAGCCUGACGGAGCAACGCCGCGUGAGUGAUGAAGGUCUUCGGAUCGUAAAACUCUGUUAUUAGGGAAGAACAUAUGUGUAAGUAACUGUGCACAUCUUGACGGUACCUAAUCAGAAAGCCACGGCUAACUACGUG
This 495-nucleotide ribosomal RNA is filed under the name uncultured bacterium. RNAcentral's name for it is "partial 16S ribosomal RNA". It matches the Rfam family "Bacterial small subunit ribosomal RNA", at positions 30 to 507 of the family's 1533-position model. The record is from RNAcentral.